This 86-nucleotide non-coding RNA is filed under the name pig gut metagenome. RNAcentral's name for it is "Cyclic di-GMP-I riboswitch". It matches the Rfam family "c-di-GMP-I riboswitch aptamer". Rfam says of the family: GEMM was predicted in a large-scale screen for bacterial structured RNA regulatory elements. Genes associated with GEMM are involved in a diverse array of functions, including chemotaxis regulation, signal transduction, secretion and chitin. The record is from RNAcentral.
UAUUAAGGGCAAACCUGCUGAAAGGCAGGGACGCAAAGCUUAGGGUCUAACCCGUUUGAUAAAAACGGUAUGGCAGCCAGUUGCUG